GAAACAGGCAUGCUUACCUCACAGAACGAGGAGCCCAGAAGAGUCAGCAGAGCAAUUGGUUCUGUUGCUCCAAGGUGUCCUUCGUCCGUGCACUCCAUUUCAUCCUCAGUGAAUUAGAAAUAUUGUCCCUCGAGCUCUAACCACUAUCACCUCAAAAAACACACUUAAAGGCCCUUUUAUCUAGGAAAAUGGAGAGAGUGACUGUGGAGCAGAGAACCAACAAUGUCUGGUCCACACCCAACUCAGAGUUCCUGGUCACUUCAGUCGUGUCCGACUCUGUGCAACCCCAUAGACGGCAGCCCACCAGGCUCCCCCAUCCCUGGGAUUCUCCAGGCAAGAACACUGGAGUGGGUUGCCAUUUCCUUCUCCAAUGCAUGAAAGUGAAAAGAGAAAGUGAAGUCGCUCCGUCAUGUCUGACUCUUAGCGACCCCAUGGACUGAAGCCUACCAGCCUCCUCCAUCCAUGGGAUUUUCCAGGCAGGAGUACUGGAGUGGGGUGCCAUUGCCUUCUCCGCUCUCUGUAAAUAGCUAAUAAAAAAAAAAAAAAAAAAAACAAGAUUGAAGAAACAGAUCAUUACUUUAUCUUGAAAUUCUUAUUCUUCUCAUUCAAGUUUCCAGCCUAUGUAUUACUCUAUUUUACAUAUAUCCAUCCAUCCAUCCAUGUAUAUAUAAUACACACGUGGCAGAAGCAGCCGAAAACAAUUAUUCCUAAUUCAUUUUCAAAGUCAAGAGGCAUUUUAGCUCUAGGUCAGAACUCCCAGGAUCCCAUAUGAAAAGUUCUGAAGAAAAAAAUCUGGAAAACAUUUCUGACUCCUCAAGCCUCACAAGGACAGCUUUCAGACCGUGUGAUUCAGAACUCCCAGAAGAAAAAAGCAAUCCAGCGCUUGUCCUUAUAAAAGCCAAAACCCUUUCUUCAGGAUGUAGCAGCCUUAUCACAUGACCUCAGCUGGCCUGGAGGAGAGCAGAAUCAUGAAACUGUGCCUUGCCACAUGAACUCAAAAGCUGAGAGA
This is a long non-coding RNA of Bos taurus (domestic cattle), 1009 nucleotides long. The record is from Ensembl. Lineage: Eukaryota; Metazoa; Chordata; Mammalia; Artiodactyla; Bovidae.